This is a long non-coding RNA of Oryzias melastigma (Indian medaka), 1166 nucleotides long. RefSeq lists it as uncharacterized. NCBI's taxonomy places the organism in Eukaryota, Metazoa, Chordata, Actinopteri, Beloniformes, Adrianichthyidae. The transcript has 3 exons. The record is from RefSeq and is a predicted model, not a curated record.
GACCUGAGGCACAGCAGCAGACUGUCAACGGCAGCUCUCCUCAGAGAGAACAUCAGAGAAUUCACUGGUUUCCUGUGAAGGAUGCACACGUGCACACACACGUGCACGCCCACAUCAUCCUUAUGUUUACUAUCAUCAGUGUUGGAACGCAGCGUGUGGACCUGACAGACUGCAUGUAGCGUCCACAAAGAGAGGACAAACCAAAUAUAUCUGUGAGCUCCAGUCAUGUGGUGCACUGCUAAUAAUACACAAACAGCUCACACAUGCACACGCACAUGCACGUACACCCCUGGAUUCAUUCAGCUUUUCCUCAGAGAGCACCCCCCCCCCUCUUUUUAACUCGAGCAGCUGCUUCAGCUGAUCAACACGUCCAUCCACUGAGCUUGAUUCUGUUUUCCUGGAAACUUCUGACUGUUUCUUCUGUCACAUUCUAGAACCCUUUGAGGUCCACGAGUGAGAAAGUGCAGAUCCUGCUCUAGAGGGCGCUAGGGUCACGUGCACCUGUACGGGGGUUGACCUGCACAGGUGCAGCAGAUUUUUGGGUCGUCCGGUCCGUGGGGGGUGUAUAGAGAGGAGCAGCUGCACCUUCAGCUCAGUUCCAUGUACUCAUGGGGGAUGCUGGAGUACCAUUCCUGACCACAUGCUGCACACCUUUACCUGAUUCUGCCACUUGGGAGAUGUCGACUCCCUGCUCUGCAGCCAUGAAGCCCAGAAUGGAGAAGACCACGAAACCGGCAAAGAAGCUGGUGCCGCUGUUGAUGAGCGCCAGAACGAAGGCGUCCCUGCAGGAGAGAAGGAUGUCAGCCAUCAGGACACCUGCAGCCUCUGGAUCCAGAGACUCUACAGAACUCUGAUUUUCAAAGGAACAAGAAAAACUGACUCUUAACAAAAAUAAACAAAAGCCUUAACAACAGCAGGAAAUGAACCAGAGCACCGCCAACGAUCAGUGACGGACCAAAGUUAUUCUCAUUUUACAUUAAUGAUGUUUUUCUUGUUUUAAUGUCAACAAAGUUGACAUUUAUUAUGUUUGCUAAUGAUAUAAAUAUGUUUAGUUCAGGAUAGAAUAUUGAUGAGUUGCUGAAUGUUGUUGGACAAGAAUUUAAAUCUAACAAGAUGUCUCUAAAUGAAAAUAAAACUAAAUAUAUGAUAUUUUCUGGAAAUAGAAA